UGACAAUGAUGAUAACUCUUAAGGCUUGUUUCUCAAAACAUUCGCAGUGGCCGACUAAGAGCUUUUGCCUUUGCCAGGCUUGAGAGCUGUUGCUGCUUUAUCCUUGGAUGUCUGAGACC
Small nucleolar RNA from Humulus lupulus (European hop), 119 nucleotides. RefSeq annotates it as small nucleolar RNA SNORD14. The record is from RefSeq and is a predicted model, not a curated record. NCBI's taxonomy places the organism in Eukaryota, Viridiplantae, Streptophyta, Magnoliopsida, Rosales, Cannabaceae. The transcript has a single exon.